GCCGGGGCGUCCCCCGCGGGAGCCCGCAGCCACCCGGGACGCGCAUCCAGACGUGGCGCUUCGGACCGGGCACGCUGCGCCCGGGGGCUCGGCGGACCCCGCGUAGCCGCCGCUUCGGAGCUUGUGCGGCGCGGGCUGGCCAGCGGGGCGGCCAGGGCCCGGCCCGCCUCCCCAGCGCCCGCCCGGCUUCUCCCCCUGGCGGUGGGAGCCUCGGCGGCCGCUGGCGACACUAGGCGCACUGAAGCCCGAGCCGAGCCGAGCCCGAGCCGCCGCCGCCGCCGCCGCUGCUGCGCACCGCUCCCGGGCUCCCUCCCAGCGCGCCGGCCGGGGUGUGGGGGGCGGCGGGCCGGAGGGGCGAGGGCGGGCCAGGGGGCGCACACGGGGGUUGGCGCGGAAGACAGGACCCUCAGCCUCGAGGGAGCCCCUAGGUGACCAGGCAAAAUGGCAGUUCCUUCCAGCUGGUCCUCAGAUGGGCACAUCUAUUAGCCUCUGCUCUUGUAAGAAGUUAGCUGCAGAACCCACAUGUGAAUCCUUGUAGGACUCUGGAGAAGAUCAAAUGGGAGCUUAGAUGUGGAAGCUCUUUGGAAACCAAGAAACACUCUGAAAAUGAAAAGGAUACCAACUUCAUCUCUCUUUAAGAAUACAAUAUUAGUUUAAAAGAUUGUUCAACUUAAAGCAAUCUUGUAGAGAUUGUCACCCAUGAUUGAUGCUGGGUGGAAGAGUAAACUGUUCCUGUUUCUCCAUCUUGACAGGAAGCAGAAGUUCUCCUUAGCUGAUUUUUCUUCUUGCCUUAUACUGGGUUCUUUAACACCAGAACAAAAAUAAAUAAAUAAAAGAAUCUUCCAGAAAUUCAUGAAGAGACUUCAGGUCAGGAAAGCCUGAACUUUCUCAUCCAACACCCGUUCAAGUCGGAGGAUGCUGAUUAAUUCAUGAUGGAAAGGUAUCAAUUUCACAGCCCAGACCUCUACAUUCUUGAAAUGCUCUUCUCAUGGGAGACAUUAAAUAAGCUUUGAAUUAACUGAAUGUACAGGGUGUACCAUGAACAAUUCUGACAUGUGAUUUAAUCUAUGUGGGACUACAUUUUAAAUACAUUUGGGAAGGAUUGAACAAUGAAGUGGAGCCCAUCAAUAUUGGUACUGAAAAUGAGACAUGUGCACCAAUGAAAAGUCCAUCAGGGAUUUGCUCUGCCAUAUGGGAAUCAAUGCUCCAUCAGACAGCUUUACAAAGCUGCCAUGUGUGAUUCAUAUUCGCAAACUGUGUAUUAUUUUUAUUGUCUAUUUUUCUAAUUUUUUCUCAUCCCUGAAUCCUUGGUAAAGUUUGGUUUACAUAUUCUUUCAUCACCUCAGUAAAAAAAGAAAUACAAAUAUAAUGGACCCUUUGAAACCAGGGUGGUGGUAACUAUGAUAAUAUUUCAUAGAUUUCCAGGAAAAUGUAAAUCUCAGGGAAGAGAAUUUAAGAUAAAUGUCCAGAUGCUUAUUAGAAGUA
This 1485-nucleotide long non-coding RNA is filed under the name Homo sapiens (human). RNAcentral's name for it is "PREDICTED lncRNA (TCONS_00182843)". Lineage: Eukaryota; Metazoa; Chordata; Mammalia; Primates; Hominidae. The record is from RNAcentral.